CAAAAUUAUGUUAAAAGGAGGAUUCUAGAUUGAGUUUUUCGAAUCCUUUAAAACCAGUAUCUAGAAAUUACGUUCUAAUCUUUUUUUUCCCAGAAAUUGAGUCUGCUAAUCUUUCAUCUGUUUGUCAUAUAUAUAACAAAUAUUUUUAAUCAAAGAAGUGAUAAAUAUAUCUAGCAUUUAGUAGUUGUCAUUAAUUUUAGCUUGUAUGUGUGUGUGUAUAUGUAAAUAUAUUUUUUUUAGGAUUAUCGUAUUUAUUGACUAGUAUUCAAAUAUAUCUAUUUUGAUGUUGUUCAAAACAGUAGACCAAAGGAGGCACAUUAAAUUAGUACCAAAAUAUAUUCCAUGAAUUGCUGAAAAUUUGCUUAAAUUUGUUUCUUAGCUUCUCAAUAUCCAGAAUAAAAAGGGAAAUAAUUAUGUAAAAUAAUCAGUGCCCAUACAAUAGAAACAAUACUAUUCAUCAUUUCCUCAAGAGAAACAAUUUCUCUGGUGCUAAGGUAGGUUUUUAUUUACGUCCUCACAAAAGGGACAAAGGGGGUAUAGGGAAUAAUGUCUUCCACAUAUUGUGAACAAAUGUAACCAUGUUUUCAUAGGAUUUGUGGAUUCUGUAAAAGCAGUUCUGCUCAGGAUAAAUGCAAGUUUUCAGUGUUUACGUGGUUUUUUUGAUCUAUAAAUAACAGUUAAAAUGUCUAUUGGGGUCCUUAUUUAACUCUCAAAAGGGUUUUAGAAGUAAAUAGCAGAUUCAACUAUCCAUUGAAGCCACUUUUACUAAUAUGUGAUAACAUGAGCUUAGAGUAGACUACUUUUCUUACUAUACUCCAUAUCAGGGUAACCCAUGGCGUGCAAUUAUUUUAUCUAGAAGUAGUUCCAAGAUGUUAUGGUACUAGUUCAAAAGAACUACAUCCAGAUCUUUGUGUUCCAUUUUAUAGAGAUGAUACAUUGUUGAACUGUAGGCUUUUGUGCAUUUUCAGGAACAUGGUCUAGUGCUAAAGAGUUUUUAUUUUCAUUAAAUUAUAUGCUUUUAAAAAUUACAUAGGAAAGAGAGCUUGAGGCAAACAAAAAAGAAAAAA
This 1067-nucleotide long non-coding RNA is filed under the name Homo sapiens (human). Its description in RNAcentral is "non-protein coding lnc-ROS1-3:1". The record is from RNAcentral. Lineage: Eukaryota; Metazoa; Chordata; Mammalia; Primates; Hominidae.